UAGGGAAUCUUCGGCAAUGGGGGCAACCCUGACCGAGCAACGCCGCGUGAGUGAAGAAGGUUUUUGGAUCGUAAAGCUCUGUUGUAAGAGAAGAACGUGUGUGAGAGUGGAAAGUUCACACAGUGACGGUAACUUACCAGAAAGGGACGGCUAACUACGUGCCAG
RNAcentral lists this ribosomal RNA (165 nucleotides) under uncultured bacterium. Its description in RNAcentral is "partial 16S rRNA". It matches the Rfam family "Bacterial small subunit ribosomal RNA", at positions 355 to 511 of the family's 1533-position model. The record is from RNAcentral.